Molecule: long non-coding RNA, 384 nt
Organism: Peromyscus eremicus (cactus mouse)
Lineage: Eukaryota; Metazoa; Chordata; Mammalia; Rodentia; Cricetidae
Exons: 3
Source: RefSeq, a predicted model, not a curated record
UUCUGUCUGAGCAUGUCUAAUAACAUCCUUCAGUGUUGCUCUCAAUUUAUACAACUUUGUGGCUACACAGAGAAAAAUGAGGCCCAGCUGAAAUCAGAGUCUGGCUUCUGCGAAACCUCUCCGAUUAUGAGAGAAGUACAGUUGGAGUCGCACAUGGUUGUGAAACAAAGGCCGGAAGUCCCUAUAUUUGCACAAAACCUGGCCUCCUGGGGCAGACCCAACACCUUGGGAAAGCAAAGUAGUGAUGGAUGAGAACGCCUGUCCCCUUCAGCUUCCGACCUGGCUUUGAGGAGUGAGUGCUCUCUGCUGGGUACAAUCACGGUGGUUCUUUUAAAGGAAGCUGAGAAACAUCAGGCAUGCAAUCGUGGCAGUCUUGAGACCAGU